GAAUAUCCACUGGAAAGUUCUCCUCCAAUCAACUGUGAGGCAGAAACAUCCGUUAUUUUCAACCAACUACAAUUUGUUGCGUUCAGCAUUCUGGGAAAAGAGAUGUUCCAGCGGGCUGUAGGCUUUGCACAGUUUUAUUUUAUGGAUACAUUUAUAUUGCUGUGCUGUGGAGCUGAAUUUCAUCUAUGAAGUUUCCAUCUAGAUGCGGCGAAGGAUGACCUAAGACGGAAUAUGUCCAAGAUGGAUACCAGCAUGAUGAGUCUGGCCAUAUCAUCAUUUGUUGUAACAUGAACACAGUACUUUCAUCAGUGGUUUGGACUCUCACCGACAAGACGCUCUGUCAGCUGCCUCACCAAGGAAUCAUACAAAUUGGAAUCGUUGGGUUAGGUUAAUAUGGACUAUUAUUUGUGCUCUAAAGAACCCAUCGUUUUUCUUUUUGCUCUACUAAAAAGAAGAGAAGGGGGAGAUGUGGGAUAAAGAAAGUCAUUAUCAUGCUAAUAAGUAAAAAAGCUUAGUAAUUUGAGCCAGAUGCCAACACACACAAGGCACCUGGCUCCUACAUGUAACCAGUUGUUGUUGCACGGGUAUAAAAGGUUGUAAGCACUUUCAAUAAAGAUCCUUCAUUCUGCACCAGCAAA
Lagopus leucura (white-tailed ptarmigan) is the source of this 638-nucleotide long non-coding RNA. RefSeq lists it as uncharacterized. The transcript is spliced from 3 exons. The record is from RefSeq and is a predicted model, not a curated record. Lineage: Eukaryota; Metazoa; Chordata; Aves; Galliformes; Phasianidae.